Molecule: long non-coding RNA, 144 nt
Organism: Lutra lutra (Eurasian river otter)
Lineage: Eukaryota; Metazoa; Chordata; Mammalia; Carnivora; Mustelidae
Exons: 3
Source: RefSeq, a predicted model, not a curated record
AGCUCAGAGGGCAGGUUCCUCAGAGGUCAGGUUUCAUGCUCAAGGUGACUCGGCCUCUUCAGGUGUCGAACUAGCAUCCCAAGCUCAAGUUCUCCCAACAAAGGACUAAGACGGCAGCAGCACCGAACUGAGACCCAGAGCUCA